AUGCAGUUGACGAGUCUCAAAUAGGACGAAACGCGCGUUCGAAAU
Molecule: non-coding RNA, 45 nt
Filed under: Schistosoma margrebowiei
Lineage: Eukaryota; Metazoa; Platyhelminthes; Trematoda; Strigeidida; Schistosomatidae
Source: RNAcentral